Long non-coding RNA from Rhagoletis zephyria (snowberry fruit fly), 1879 nucleotides. RefSeq lists it as uncharacterized. The record is from RefSeq and is a predicted model, not a curated record. Lineage: Eukaryota; Metazoa; Arthropoda; Insecta; Diptera; Tephritidae.
CUGGGUAACGGCGCAAAUUUUUUGGCGCUGAUACACUAACACCAGUGCCUCUGCCGGAAUCAGAACAGUGUGUUGGCACUAUUGCGCCGAUUGCGCCUCUUCAGGCAGCUUAACGCAGUGGUUUUCUCAGAGUCUCUUUGCCGAUUCAUACGACUGCAAGAAUGAUAGAAUACAAGGUGGUGUUACUAGAACAGCUGAUUGGAUAUUUCCACAACUUUAUAUAGACGCGCCUUGACUGUAAUUUUGGCGGACAUUUACUGGCAAAUUGGCGCGUUUUCAUCUUGCUUAUUCCUGGACAUUUUACAAGAGCUUAUUCGUCCAAGCAUCGCUGUGAGUUCCACGAGCGUUUCACUGCAUUUUCAUCUACUAAUCACUAAUUUUGCGUAUUCCUGCACAUUUUACAAGAGCUUAUUCAUCCAAGCGUCGCUGUGAGUUCCUCGAGCGUUUCACUGCAUUUUCAUCAUGCCAAAUAAAAAGAGCGAAAUAUGGCUGCACUUCUCCGAUGAGAAAGAAAAAAAGUAAAGUGUAAGCUAUGUGGUCAGCAGAUAUCCGUGGCAAACAAAUCAACGUGCAGCCUGAUUCGCCAUAUGAAUAGGCGGCAUCCCUUCCAAAAAAUUGCUAGGCAGGAGCAUUUGGAAACAGAAGUUGACACGAAGGCAGCAGCAACGCAGGUAGAAGCACCACAGAGAGCAGCAACGCAAGUAGAAUCACAACAAGCAGCAACACAGCGAAAUACACCGCGAGCAUCAUACGCACCGCAAGGAUCGGUAUCACAGUACCUACACAAACCACUUCCAGUCAAAAAGCAGCAACAAAUCGAUGACCAGGUAAUUAAAAUGAUUGUCCGCGAGUACCAUCCAUUUAGCAUCGUCGAAGACGUGGAAUUUAAAUAGCUAGUAUGUCUCCUAAAUCCGAACUAUAAACUCCCAACUAGGAAAACAGUGUCAUCCUCGUUAAUACCGGCCAUGUAUAAUGUAACCAUGGAGGUGGUGAAAAGGCGGUUAGAGAGGGCGUAUGCUAUAUGUGUGACGAUGGACGGUUGGACUUCCCGUGCAGGAGAUAGCUUCUUUAGUGUGACUGCCCACUACAUUGUGGAAGAGGAUAAAAAAACAUUCCUUGCGUCGGAUUUGUUAGCUUGCUCCUCAUAUUUAGAUAGGCACACAAGUGAAAAUAUUACAAAAAAAAUUUACGAAAUUUUUUGCGAAUGGGGAGUUAGUAACAAGAUAAUUGUUAUAGUUAGUGAUAAUGCAGCUAAUAUGAAAGCAGCAGUUCGUGGGGGAGGUUGGCGGCAUUGGGUAAAAUGGCAAUGUGGUUUAAAAGAAAUAGAAUCAGUUUUGCAUAAAAUAAAAGUAAUUGUUAGGUUUUUUUUUCAAAAAGCACUUACGCUUCUUCAAAACUUAAAGCAACAUUGCAGGCUAUGCAGCAACCAGUUUUGAAACUUAUUAAUGACGUACCUACUCGCUGGAACUCAACAUAUGAAAUGUUGAAACGCGUAUUAGUUUUAAAAGAUGCAGUGAUUUCCACUUUAGCUUUAGUUAAGUCGUCGAUGCUGGCCAGAGAUGACGAAUUACAAACAAUUAAUUUUUUAAGUAACGAAGAGUGGUUGGUAGCAGAGCAAUCAAUGAAAGUUUUAGAAAUUUUUUAAGUUGUUACGACAUUAAUUUGUGUCGAAAAGCACAUAAGUGCAUCUUGCGUAAUCCUGUACAUUAAGCAAUUAAGCAAACAUUUAAAAACCUCCAAUACCUCGCAACUAAGCCCCGAUGUAAACAAUUUGGUUGCAAAACUGUUAAACGAACUUAACAAUAGGUUUAAAGACUUAUGGCCUUAUUCAUAAAAAAUAAAGUAGGUUUAAAGAGCUUUAUAAAUUGACGUUUUCAUA